AGAUGCUUCUCUGAGAGAGCCAGUGGUGGAGCACUAUGAUAAUGUCACUGCUGAUGACGAGACCAACCUCAAUGAUUUGUUGACAGAAGAGACAACGGCACACGUGCAGCCAGAGGAGUAUGAUGAUGUAGAUGACGUAGAUGACGUCACGAGUAUGAAGUCGUCUGAGGUGACUGAGAACACAGGAUAUGAUGACGUGGGAG
Sardina pilchardus (European sardine) is the source of this 203-nucleotide long non-coding RNA. RefSeq lists it as uncharacterized. The record is from RefSeq and is a predicted model, not a curated record. NCBI's taxonomy places the organism in Eukaryota, Metazoa, Chordata, Actinopteri, Clupeiformes, Clupeidae. The transcript is spliced from 3 exons.